CCUACGUGUGGCAGCAGUGGGGAAUAUUGGACAAUGGGCGAAAGCCUGAUCCAGCCAUGCCGCGUGUGUGGAGAAGGCCUUCGGGUUGUAAAGCACUUUCAGUGGGGAAGAAAGCCUUGGGGCUAAUACCCUCGAGGAAGGACAUCACCCACAGAAGAAGCACCGGCUAACUCCGUGCCAGCAGCCGCGGUAAUACGGAGGGUGCGAGCGUUAAUCGGAAUUACUGGGCGUAAAGCGCGCGUAGGCGGUCUGAUAAGCCGGUUGUGAAAGCCCCGGGCUCAACCUGGGAACGGCAUCCGGAACUGUCAGGCUAGAGUGCAGGAGAGGAAGGUAGAAUUCCCGGUGUAGCGGUGAAAUGCGUAGAGAUCGGGAGGAAUACCAGUGGCGAAGGCGGCCUUCUGGACUGACACUGACGCUGAGGUGCGAAAGCGUGGGUAGCAAACAGGAUUAGAUACCCGAGUAGUC
This 465-nucleotide ribosomal RNA is filed under the name Vreelandella stevensii. RNAcentral's name for it is "partial 16S ribosomal RNA". It matches the Rfam family "Bacterial small subunit ribosomal RNA", at positions 338 to 795 of the family's 1533-position model. Lineage: Bacteria; Pseudomonadati; Pseudomonadota; Gammaproteobacteria; Oceanospirillales; Halomonadaceae. The record is from RNAcentral.